GAUGAACGCUGGCGGCGUGCUUAACACAUGCAAGUCGAACGAAGCACUUUAUUUGAUUUCCUUCGGGACUGAUUAUUUUGUGACUGAGUGGCGGACGGGUGAGCAACGCGUGGGUAACCUGCCUUGUACAGGGGGAUAACAGUUGGAAACGGCUGCUAAUACCGCAUAAGCGCACGGCAUCGCAUGAUGCAGUGUGAAAAACUCCGGUGGUAUAAGAUGGACCCGCGUUGGAUUAGCUAGUUGGUGAGGUAACGGCCCACCAAGGCGACGAUCCAUAGCCGACCUGAGAGGGUGACCGGCCACAUUGGGACUGAGACACGGCCCAAACUCCUACGGGAGGCAGCAGUGGGGAAUAUUGCACAAUGGGCGAAAGCCUGAUGCAGCGACGCCGCGUGAGCGAAGAAGUAUUUCGGUAUGUAAAGCUCUAUCAGCAGGGAAGAUAAUGACGGUACCUGACUAAGAAGCACCGGCUAAAUACGUG
This 481-nucleotide ribosomal RNA is filed under the name uncultured bacterium. RNAcentral's name for it is "partial 16S ribosomal RNA". It matches the Rfam family "Bacterial small subunit ribosomal RNA", at positions 28 to 507 of the family's 1533-position model. The record is from RNAcentral.